RNAcentral lists this long non-coding RNA (1106 nucleotides) under Phasianus colchicus (ring-necked pheasant). RNAcentral's name for it is "lncRNA (ENSPCLG00000022004.1)". The record is from RNAcentral. Lineage: Eukaryota; Metazoa; Chordata; Aves; Galliformes; Phasianidae.
UCUCAGCGAUGCGGCAACAAUAGCAGUCGGGCCCUCGCCCCGCCGGCCGGCCCAGCACAGCUCGCAGGCCCGCGCCUUCCCGCCAAUGGCAGCGCCGCUACCGUCCGCCCACCCGCCCGCUCGCCAGCGCGGCACCCAACCGAAUGGCUGCGCGGGCACAGCGGCCAAUCGGCGAGGGGCGGGAGGCGGGGCCCGGCUACGGAUAGCCAAUCACACGGCACGAAGCAAGGAGGCGGGCGAAGGAGUGAGCGAGCAAGUGUAGGUGUGGUGCGCGGGAGGGGCGGUGUGAGGAGAGCGGCGGGGCGGGAGGAGCUGAGGGAGGAGCUGAGGGAGGAGCUGAGGGAGGGGCCGAGCGCUCUUGAGGUGGGCAGUGCCGCUACUUAUGGGGAUGCUGAGGGAGAGUGGGUAUCUAGCUGGGUGCAGAGUGGGGAUGAUGCUGCUGUGUGUUACCGCUAGGGCUUUGGGGUCUCCCUCUCAGAGUCAGACAUGUUUGAAGUGCCUCCUGGUAGUCCUCAUUACACACUGAAGAUAUCCCAGUGAUGCCAGCAGAAGAUGUGCUGGAGUACAGAGGCGUGUGGCUGUGCAGCAUGGGGAGAGGGCAUUCCUGUGUGUGACCAGUUUUUCCUGCAAAGCAACUGCUUGGUGCUGAUAGUGAGAACUGUAUGGCAACGUGUGCUGGAAGUCUUGCUGAUAUCUGAAAGCCUCAGGAUUUGGCUUGACAACAUGGCUGACGCACAGUGUCUUGAAAUGUUUGCAAGAGUCUGUGGCAGUGCCUCCUCCUAAGACUCAUUCAGAAGCCAUGUGCUCUGUCUGCAGCUCUGCACCACCAACUGGAUUUGUCCCCAUUGUGCUGCCCUGUGCAUUCAUGUGAGUCAGCUUCAUGUGCCAAGUCAAAAGCAAGUUGCUGUGGUUGGAAAUGAUUAACAAAGAUUUACAAAGCUUUCUUAUACUUAAAAGCAUUUUAUUGUCUUUUAGCUAGUAACGUUUCAUGUGAAACAUGCCCAGGACAGCUGCAUUUGUUCUUAAAAAGGUAAGCUUCUUAAUACCAAGGAUAAGAUUUUUGUACAGCCUGUGAUAAUAAAUGGAAGGUAGGUGAACUAUGUGCA